Molecule: long non-coding RNA, 545 nt
Filed under: Equus caballus (horse)
Lineage: Eukaryota; Metazoa; Chordata; Mammalia; Perissodactyla; Equidae
Description: lncRNA (ENSECAG00000052601.1)
Source: RNAcentral
AAACCAGUGUGCACCAUGAGGGGAUCCAGGGAGGUGGGCCUGGCAAAUAGGAAGAAGCAAUUCUUUUCUCAGGGUCAGCUGAGGCAGGAGAAGAAAAGGCUCUGCUACUACCCAGUUAAAGAAAUGUGCAUACAUUAAGUUGUGCAUUUAGCAUCAAAGUGUUAGAUGCCAACAGUCACAGGCAGUAUGUUUAUUCAGUUUCCACUGUCUCAUUGGACCUGUUUGAUGGAAAGAUCCGGCAUUAGACCAACAAUUACUUUAAUGAGGAGAAAUAAUCAAGCUCUCCUAAAGGCUGUGAAUCAAUGUAUGCUGGUAUUAAACAUCAAUAGGUGCUGACAUCAAAAAGAACGAAAACUAGACAUGAUGUAUCUCCUGAUGAGAGACAAUAACACCACACGUAAUCAUUCUUAAGGGAUCAAACCUUAGUCCAAUAAAGACUCUGGAUCAACCUACCAAAUUUGAGGAAAUACAAAGGAUAGUGGAGCAUGUCUGCUGCACCAUGAAUGCACAAUCCAUAACAACCAGAUGAUGGGAAACUCCACAAG